AUGACCAUCGGACUCGACGUGAGAGCUUCCACCGGCGUCGUGGUCUCAGACUCCAUCCUCCAGGCCAGCAUUACGAGCGUGCACCACGUGCUCAAGAUCCAAGGAUACUCAUCGGUGAUGAACAGCUUCCCCAUCGGCAAAGCCCUCCGAUCGGAAUCCUUCCGCGGUGGAGGCCGCACUAGCUGGCACAUCGACUUCUACCCCAACGGAGAAAGUCGCGAGAGCGGCGGUUUCGUGUCCAUCCAUGCUGUUCUUGAUGCUGCCUACCUCGCCGUGAAGGCAGAUAUCGGGUUCGACAUGCUCGACUCCACCGGGGAGCUGCUGCCGCGCUACGCUAAAGCUAGUAGCGACGUGUGCAAUUUUCGUCUCGUCGGCGCUUACCGGGGCUACGACAAAUUCAUCGCGAGGGAGGAGCUGAAACUCCUCGACUGUUUCUCGGUCAGGUGCAACAUCACAGUCAUGGAGUUCUUUGCGGGCGGUGCCACCCCUUGCCCUCGUCCUCUACGACCCGUCGUGCCACCGCCUGAUUGGCGUCGUGAGCUUUUGCAGAGCGAGCAGGGCGCAGACGUGAGGUUCCUAGUCGGCGGGGAGACUUUCGCCGCGCACCGCUGCGUGCUUGCGGCGCGGUCGCCGGUGUUCAAAGCAGAACUCUUUGGCGUGAUGAAAGAGAGCAGCGCCGCCGGCAUACGUAUCCACGGGAUGAGGCCCGAGGUAUUCAGGAAUCUGCUGCAAUUCGUGUACACCGAGGAACUGCCACCCGUGACAGAAGAAGAGGAGGAUGAGUCAGCUAUGGCCCAGCAUCUCCUGGAAGCCGCUGACAGGUAUGGCAUGGAGAGGCUCAAGCUGCUCUGUGAGGACAGGCUGUGCAAGCACAUUAAUGUCAGCACGGUGGUGACCACGCUGGUGCUAGCUGAGCAACAUGGCUGCCCCGGGCUCAAGGAGGCAUGCUUCUGGUUCCUCCUCAAUUCCUCUUCAACGACACUGGAGGCAGUCAUGGCAACUGAUGACUUCGACAAUAUUCUUAGUAACAGUUGUCCUAAUCUAUUGAAAGAGUUGAUGUCGAGGCUUGCUUCCUCUGCCUCUCUCCACGAUUGGCAAAUAAUUGAUCGAUUGGAGGAGGAAGACGACCUUACCCUCUGCACAACCGAAGGGGGUGAGCUCCCUGAACCGGCUCACGGCGUCUUGCCUUUGGGAGCGAGAGCACCAAAACGCAUGCGUCUUUAA
RNAcentral lists this ribosomal RNA (1224 nucleotides) under Triticum aestivum (bread wheat). RNAcentral describes it as "partial small subunit ribosomal RNA". The record is from RNAcentral. Lineage: Eukaryota; Viridiplantae; Streptophyta; Magnoliopsida; Poales; Poaceae.